This 407-nucleotide RNase P RNA is filed under the name Formivibrio citricus. Its description in RNAcentral is "Bacterial RNase P class A". It matches the Rfam family "Bacterial RNase P class A". Rfam says of the family: Ribonuclease P (RNase P) is a ubiquitous endoribonuclease, found in archaea, bacteria and eukarya as well as chloroplasts and mitochondria. Its best characterised activity is the generation of mature 5'-ends of tRNAs by cleaving the 5'-leader elements of precursor-tRNAs. Cellular RNase Ps are ribonucleoproteins. Lineage: Bacteria; Pseudomonadati; Pseudomonadota; Betaproteobacteria; Neisseriales; Chitinibacteraceae. The record is from Rfam by way of RNAcentral.
GAAGCAGGCCAGACAGCCGCUGCCCGCCUCUGGCGGGGGGAGGAAAGUCCGGGCUCCAUCGGGCAGAAUGCCGGCUAACGGCCGGGCGCCGCGAGGCGACGGAAAGUGCAACAGAGAGCUGAACCGCCGAUGGCUCAUUACUUCGGUAGUGGGAUCAGGCAAGGGUGAAAAGGUGUACCUCGCAAGAGGAGCAGGCGCAAGCCUGUCGGUAAGAGCGCACCGCGGACGUGGCAACACGGACGGCAGGGUAAACCCCAUUCGGAGCAAGACCAAGCAGCAAGCGUUGACGUGGCCCACCGAGCUUGCGGGUGUGUUGCUGGAGCCCAGUGGCAACACUGGGCCUAGAGGAAUGGCUGUCACGGCGGGUAACCGCCGCACAGAACCCGGCUUACCGGCCGGCUUCGCAU